CCAGACUCCUACGGGAGGCAGCAGUGGGGGAUAUUGCACAAUGGGGGGAACCCUGAUGCAGCGACGCCGCGUGGGUGAAGGAGUGCUUCGGCAUGUAAAGCCCUAUCGGCAGGGAAGAAGCAAGACGGUACCUGACUAAGAAGCCCCGGCUAACUACGUGCCAGCAGCCGCGGUAAUACGUAGGGGGCGAGCGUUAUCCGGAUUCACUGGGUGUAAAGGGAGCGUAGACGGCCAAGCAAGCCAGGGGUGAAAUCCCGGGGCUUAACCACGGGACUGCUCUGGAAACUGUGCAGCUAGGGUGCAGGAGAGGCAGGCGGAAUUCCUAGUGUAGCGGUGAAAUGCGUAGAUAUUAGGAGGAACACCGGUGGCGAAGGCGGCCUGCUGGACUGUAACUGACGUUGAGGCUCGAAAGCGUGGGGAGCAAACAGGAUUAGAUACCCUAGUA
Molecule: ribosomal RNA, 445 nt
Filed under: uncultured bacterium
Lineage: Bacteria
Description: bacterial SSU rRNA
Rfam family: Bacterial small subunit ribosomal RNA
Source: RNAcentral